This 484-nucleotide ribosomal RNA is filed under the name uncultured bacterium. RNAcentral describes it as "partial 16S ribosomal RNA". It matches the Rfam family "Bacterial small subunit ribosomal RNA", at positions 29 to 523 of the family's 1533-position model. The record is from RNAcentral.
AGUGAACGCUGGCGGCGUGCUUAACACAUGCAAGUCGAACGAGAACGGAUUAUAGCUUGCUAUAAUUGUCAGCUAAGUGGCGCACGGGUGAGUAAUGUAUAGGUAAUAUGCCUCUUACUAAGGGAUAACAAAUGGAAACGUUUGCUAAUACCUUAUACUCCUUAUUAACAGAAGUUAAUAAGGGAAAGAUUUAUUGGUAAGAGAUUAGCCUGUAUUGUAUCAGUUAGUUGGUGGGGUAAUGGCUUACCAAGACUAUGACACAUAACUGGUUUGAGAGGAUGAGCAGUCACACUGGAACUGAUACACGGUCCAGACUCCUACGGGAGGCAGCAGUGGGGAAUAUUGCACAAUGGACGGAAGUCUGAUGCAGCAACGCCGCGUGGAGGAUGACACAUUUCGGUGCGUAAACUCCUUUUAUAUGAGAAGAUAAUGACGGUAUUAUAUGAAUAAGCACCGGCUAACUCCGUGCCAGCCGCCGCAGUAA